This 508-nucleotide ribosomal RNA is filed under the name uncultured bacterium. RNAcentral describes it as "bacterial SSU rRNA". It matches the Rfam family "Bacterial small subunit ribosomal RNA", at positions 28 to 526 of the family's 1533-position model. The record is from RNAcentral.
GAUGAACGCUAGCGGCAGGCCUAACACAUGCAAGUCGAGGGGCAGCGAAGAAGUAGCUUGCUACUUUUGUCGGCGACCGGCGCACGGGUGCGUAACGCGUAUGCAACCUACCUUAAACAGGGGGAUAAUUCGGAGAAAUCUGGUCUAAUACCCCAUAACAUCAGAGUCGGCAUCGGCUUUGGUUAAAAACUCCGGUGGUUUAAGAUGGGCAUGCGUUGUAUUAGCUGGUUGGUGAGGUAACGGCUCACCAAGGCUACGAUACAUAGGGGGACUGAGAGGUUAACCCCCCACACUGGUACUGAGACACGGACCAGACUCCUACGGGAGGCAGCAGUGAGGAAUAUUGGUCAAUGGACGCAAGUCUGAACCAGCCAUGCCGCGUGCAGGAAGACGGCUCUAUGAGUUGUAAACUGCUUUUGUACCAGGGUAAACCCAGAUACGUGUAUCUGGCUGAAAGUAUGGUACGAAUAAGGACCGGCUAACUCCGUGCCAGCAGCCGCAGUAAAAC